This 473-nucleotide ribosomal RNA is filed under the name uncultured Glomus. Its description in RNAcentral is "SSU rRNA". It matches the Rfam family "Eukaryotic small subunit ribosomal RNA", at positions 569 to 1047 of the family's 1831-position model. The record is from RNAcentral. Lineage: Eukaryota; Fungi; Glomeromycota; Glomeromycetes; Glomerales; Glomeraceae.
AGCAGCCGCGGUAAUUCCAGCUCCAAUAGCGUAUAUUAAAGUUGUUGCAGUUAAAAAGCUCGUAGUUGAAUUUCGGGACCAAUUUGUUGGUCGUGCCUCGGUACGUACUGAUAUUAUUGGUUUCUCCCUUCUGAAGAACCAUGAUGCCAUUAAUUUGGUGUCGUGGGGAAUCAGGACUGUUACUUUGAAAAAAUUAGAGUGUUUAAAGCAGGCUUUCGCUUGAAUACAUUAGCAUGGAAUAAUGAAAUAGGACGUUUGAUUCUAUUUUGUUGGUUUCUAGGAUCGACGUAAUGAUUAAUAGGGAUAGUUGGGGGCAUUAGUAUUCAAUUGUCAGAGGUGAAAUUCUUGGAUUUAUUGAAGACUAACUACUGCGAAAGCAUUUGCCAAGGAUGUUUUCAUUAAUCAAGAACGAAAGUUAGGGGAUCGAAGACGAUCAGAUACCGUCGUAGUCUUAACCAUAAACUAUGCCGACU